Molecule: ribosomal RNA, 223 nt
Filed under: Listeria monocytogenes
Lineage: Bacteria; Bacillati; Bacillota; Bacilli; Caryophanales; Listeriaceae
Description: partial 23S ribosomal RNA
Rfam family: Bacterial large subunit ribosomal RNA
Source: RNAcentral
AAAGGGAAACAGCCCAGACCACCAGUUAAGGUCCCCAAAUAUAUGUUAAGUGGAAAAGGAUGUGGGGUUGCUUAGACAACCAGGAUGUUGGCUUAGAAGCAGCCACCAUUGAAAGAGUGCGUAAUAGCUCACUGGUCGAGUGACCCCGCGCCGAAAAUGUACCGGGGCUAAACAUAUUACCGAAACUGUGGAUGAACCUCUUUAGAGGUUCGUGGUAGGAGAG